Non-coding RNA from Pelobates cultripes (western spadefoot toad), 394 nucleotides. The record is from the annotation of a GenBank genome assembly. Lineage: Eukaryota; Metazoa; Chordata; Amphibia; Anura; Pelobatidae.
GUGAGAGUGCAGAGUGUGAGAGUGCUGUGUAUGAUGUGUGUGAGAGUGCUGUGUAUGAUGUGUGUGAGAGUGAUGUGUAUGAUGUGUGUGAGAGUGCAGAGUGUGAUGAGUGUGAGAGUGCUGUGUAUGAUGUGUGUGAGAGUGCUGUGUAUGAUGUGUGUGAGAGUGCUGUGUAUGAUGUGUGUGAGGGUGCUGUGUAUGAUGUGUGUGAGGGUGCUGUGUAUGAUGUGUGUGAGAGUGCUGAGUGUGAUGAGUGUGAGAGUGCAGAGUGUGAUGUGUGUGAGAGUGCUGUGUAUGAUGUGUGUGAGAGUGCAGAGUGUGAUGAGUGUGAGAGUGCUGUGUAUGAUGUGUGUGAGAGUGCAGAGUGUGAUGAGUGUGAGAGUGCUGUGUAUGA